UCUUCUUCUUCUUCAUUUUCUUUUUUUUCAUUUGGCCAUGAGAAGUCAAGCUAAGCCGGAGCGCCGCCGCUCGCCGUUGCCGCCGCCGUGUGCCGCCGUGACCGCCGGCCAGCCGUUCCACCUUCCCGCUCUAGCCGAGUUAGUCUAGAGUCCGAGCCCCCGCCUGAAUGUCGAGAUUGAGGUCGACUCGGAGUCGUCGGGUGAGCAGACAGCUGCGGAGGAUUCAGGUGGUGAUGCCGAGGACAGUGAGUCAGAGUGGACGCCUUCGAGAGGGCGUAGGGGAUAGUUCUGGGAGGAGGAUGCGCCCCAUUUUUGGAUAGUGCUGACCUAGAGAGCUGAUCCUGAUAUUUUGGUGGUUUGGAGUUUAUAGUUCGGUGUGCUUAUAAAUUAUUUUGUGGUUUGUAUUGGCGGAUGAUGUAAAUAUUUGGAAGUGUAAUAUAUGCUUGGUGGUUUGAUGAUUUGUUC
Long non-coding RNA from Syzygium oleosum, 465 nucleotides. RefSeq lists it as uncharacterized. The transcript has 2 exons. The record is from RefSeq and is a predicted model, not a curated record. NCBI's taxonomy places the organism in Eukaryota, Viridiplantae, Streptophyta, Magnoliopsida, Myrtales, Myrtaceae.